CUUGUACACACCGCCCGUCACACCAUGGGAGCGGGUUCUGCCAGAAGUAGUUAGCCUAACCGCAAGGAGGGCGAUUCCCACGGCAGGGUUCGUGACUGGGGUG
This 103-nucleotide ribosomal RNA is filed under the name uncultured bacterium. RNAcentral describes it as "partial 16S ribosomal RNA". It matches the Rfam family "Bacterial small subunit ribosomal RNA", at positions 1380 to 1482 of the family's 1533-position model. The record is from RNAcentral.